CGCACUGCAGAUCCAGUUUGUGUUUGGUUGGUUUCGAGAUCGUUUGGUACGAUUCUGUUGGAGAUUCGCUUUUAGUUCCUGGAAUACGCUGGCGCUUCGUUGAGCGCAUUCAGACCGAUUUCACAGGACUUGAAUACCGAUUGAUUGUGGACUCGCUCUGGUCGGAGUGGGGGGUUGAUUUAACCCCCAAAACCCCCCCUUGGUUGCGCCACUGUAUAGAAGAAAUCUCGCAGGUAUCUUUGAAGGAAUUUUUAGAAAACAAAUCUUGGAGAUUUCUCUAAAAAUCUCUUUAUAAAUCUAUGGAUGAAAAACGAAAAUGUUCUGGAAAAAUCUUGGAUAAAUGAACUUGUUACACGACUUUACUAUGAUGCAAUAAAUGUUAACUGUUGAUUUUUUUA
Molecule: long non-coding RNA, 398 nt
Organism: Aedes aegypti (yellow fever mosquito)
Lineage: Eukaryota; Metazoa; Arthropoda; Insecta; Diptera; Culicidae
Exons: 2
Source: RefSeq, a predicted model, not a curated record